Molecule: long non-coding RNA, 281 nt
Filed under: Pan troglodytes (chimpanzee)
Lineage: Eukaryota; Metazoa; Chordata; Mammalia; Primates; Hominidae
Description: long non-coding RNA NONPTRT004556
Source: RNAcentral
GACAAAUGAUAGAAGGAUGAAGGUCAAAUGGAAACCUCCAGAGGUCUCAAGUCAACAGAAGCAACAUAUAUGUGAAGAGUUAUUUCAGAAAGGGGGUUUUGGAAGGGGUUUUCAAAGAGAGUGACCCAUCUUCAAAGCAUCUCUGAAGGGACUUUAGUGCCAUUGAACAUCAAAGACUGAACACUGUUACCACAGACCAAGUCCCUUAUUUUUUUUAAAAAGACACAACCAACCCAGAGAGGCAAAUUAGCCCUUGGUUAUACAAGAAGUUGUAAGAAGCA